UGCCCAACUGGCUGCCAACGUGGCUGUGC
This 29-nucleotide non-coding RNA is filed under the name Homo sapiens (human). Lineage: Eukaryota; Metazoa; Chordata; Mammalia; Primates; Hominidae. The record is from RNAcentral.